GCUAAUGAGCCUGAGUGUGAGCCUGAGAAAGUCUGACCAUAGAGAUUCUCACUGCUACUCACGGAUGACUGGGUCCCUGUGGGAGAGACAUCAAGAGCGCACGCUCCAGCUAAGCCAAUCCAAACGACAACCAGAAAGAAAGAAACGUUCUGGGAAAGUUGCAGUUUGUGGAUGGGAGGAUGGAAACGGAUAAAUAAAGUGAUUUCCUCUC
Long non-coding RNA from Etheostoma cragini (Arkansas darter), 211 nucleotides. RefSeq lists it as uncharacterized. The record is from RefSeq and is a predicted model, not a curated record. The transcript is spliced from 2 exons. NCBI's taxonomy places the organism in Eukaryota, Metazoa, Chordata, Actinopteri, Perciformes, Percidae.